GGGCGCGCCAACGCGCAGGCGAGAGGAGCCACCCCACGUCCGAGGUCAGGGGCAGAAGCCGAGAGGACCCCAUGCUCGAAGGGCGGCGGCCGAGAGGAGUUACCCCACGUCUGAGGUCAGGGGCAGCGGCCGAGAGUACCAACUGCAACGGAGCAGGAACAGUGGAGAGGAGCUACCCCGCGUCGGAGGCCAGGGACGGCGGCCAGGAGGAGCAACCCCACGACCGAGGCCAGGGGCGGUGGCCAGGAGGACCAACCCCACGCCCAAGGAGCCGUGGAUGUGCGGGCGCAGGAGGGCCUAGAGGAGCUAUCCCACGUUGAAGGUCAGGAAGGGCUGCAGUGAGGAGAUACCCCUCGCCCAAGCCUCCUAGCAGCCCUGAGAUGCAGGGAUGAGACCAAGAUCCCUUCAUUCAGAUGAACAUUCACUGAGCCUAGACUCUGUGUCAGACAGAGGCCUCAAGGAGUUCAGAGUCUAGAGGGAGAGACCAACAGGUAAAUAAAUCAUUACCAUAAGGAUCUGAUAAAAAAAAAAAAGAAGAAAUUAUGACAGAGGGAAACAGAAGAGAGAUAUGGGCAGGGUUGGCAUGUUGCCCAACUCUGAGAUCUAUAUGACUGUUCCCCCCUGGAGUUGUGCAACAAGAAUGCCCUGGUCACGUGUGAGCCCAGAGAACACAUCUGAUCCAGUGUGGAAAGUCCACCAGGUACUAGCUGAAGCAGGAAGGGCAAGUUUACCAGGCAGAUGAGGAGUGAAGGAUGAUCCAGACAGAGCGAUCAGCAUGUAUAAAGUGAUGGAGGGGUGAAACAAGAUGUGAAAUGCUGGGAGGCAUCAGAAGAUCCAUUUUGGCUGAAGCACUGAGUAACUACGGGAAAAUGUGCAGCUUCUUGUUAAAUGAGUUAAUGAAUGCAAGAAGGACUAUGACAACAACAAUCAUGAUCAUCAACAUUUGGUAACCACUCAUCUAUGCCAAGUACUAUACUAAGUGAUUUCAGUGAAUCUCCUCAUUUUAAGAUCCCACAUUCCCAUGACAUCGGUUCUCCAAUAUCCUCUCCUCAGAGAAGUUAGUCAACUUGCUCAAGAUCACAGAGCUAGUGCCAGAGCCAGGAUGGAAGCUCAGAUGUCCUAGAUUCUACAUCCCUGAGCCCUUGACCACUACUUCUUUCAGCAGCAGAGCCCUUAACUUUGGGCAGGGGGACCCCAGCACAGAGUCAGGUGGGCACCAGCAGUCACAUCAGCCCCCCUUUGAGCUUCACCAGAAGUGGUCUUUUCUUUGGCCAUCAGCAAGGACAAGAAUCAAUGGUUCCACCGAGAUCCUGAGCAGAAGAGGGAAACGAAGAGGACACCUCAUGAAUGAAUUCUCUGGGCAUGUAUGAAAAGACCCUGGGAUUCCCAGAGCCUCCAGAAAGAGUGGGGGUUGCGGUGCUGCAGAACCAGUAAAAAACAAAACCCCACAAUUUGAUGACCUUGUGUUUAUCCUAGGCAUCGUGUGGCCUGGUUACAUCGUGGAAAAAAUAUCAAAUUCUUUCCAGCUGUCUCAGGUCUGCACGUUCACGUCACCUGUUUUUCAACCCCAUCGGGACCUCCCAUCCCUCAACACAGCUCCCAUCUUCUCUCAACCUUGCAGCCCUUCCUAGGUUUACAUUGUCUUUCCUCCCAUAGGGCUGGCAUUUCUUUUGCAGACACCUUCCCCUGUCUUCAUCCUGGGUCAAACCAACUGAUUUCUUUCUCUGCUACUACAUCUGGCAACUGUGAGCUGCUGAGGAAACCCUAGAAUCACAUGAGGUCUUGGAGCUCACCUGCUCUGCAGUCCUUUGCUUGAUCCUUGCCAGCUCACAGGCUUUUUUCCUCAGCCUCAUUCUAGGGUGUUCCCCC
This is a long non-coding RNA of Bos taurus (domestic cattle), 1869 nucleotides long. The record is from Ensembl. NCBI's taxonomy places the organism in Eukaryota, Metazoa, Chordata, Mammalia, Artiodactyla, Bovidae.